This 231-nucleotide unclassified non-coding RNA is filed under the name uncultured Marasmiaceae. Its description in RNAcentral is "sequence contains ITS1". Lineage: Eukaryota; Fungi; Basidiomycota; Agaricomycetes; Agaricales. The record is from RNAcentral.
UUGAAUGUACCUUGGAGUUUACUGUUGCUGGCUUUGUUAUGAAGCAUGUGCACGUAGCUCUGAAUACUAUUCAUCCACCUGUGCACUUUCUGUAGGAGUCUCUUUUAGAUUGGUCUAUGGUGGUCUAUGACCUCGUAGUCGAUUUGAAAGGCUUCUAUGUUUUACAAACCAAGUUAAGCAUGUUUUAGAAUGUCGUUUUAUUGGGACUUGAUUGACCCUUUAAACUUUGUA